Molecule: ribosomal RNA, 418 nt
Filed under: Paratetrapedia testacea
Lineage: Eukaryota; Metazoa; Arthropoda; Insecta; Hymenoptera; Apidae
Description: partial 28S ribosomal RNA
Source: RNAcentral
GUAGUCGUGCACUUCUCCUCUAGUAGAACGUCGCGACCCGUUGUGUGUCGGUCUACGGCCCGAGCGGGCGCCUGUCGCGUCGCGUUUCGCGUACGCGGCAGACCCUCGGACGCCCGGCCGGCUGCACGACGGUACUCCCACGGUAUCGGGCCGCAACCAAUCCGAUUCUMGAAUCGUGUGUGCGUCUAGCCCGUCGCAAGCUCGAUCAGUUCUUACCCGGUGGUCGGACCUAGUGCCGUCCCCGGGCCUGAUCAGCUGUUAGCAGWCGGUGUCCUCGGACUGGCCAAGCUUCGAAUUACCGGUCGGCGACGCUACUGCUUUGGGUACUCUCAGGACCCGUCUUGAAACACGGACCAAGGAGUCUAACAUGUGCGCGAGUCAUUGGGAUGCACAAACCUAAAGGCGAAAUGAAAGUGAA